RNAcentral lists this small RNA (301 nucleotides) under uncultured bacterium. Its description in RNAcentral is "bacterial SSU rRNA". It matches the Rfam family "Bacterial small subunit ribosomal RNA", at positions 63 to 358 of the family's 1533-position model. The record is from RNAcentral.
CGAGCGGAUCUUCUCCUUCGGGAGAGGGUUAGCGGCGGACGGGUGAGUAACACGUAGGCAACCUGCCCACAAGACUGGGAUAACAUUCGGAAACGAAUGCUAAGACCAGAUACAUCAUUCUGCUGCAUGGCGGGAUGAGGAAACACGGUGCAAGCUGUGACUUGUGGAUGGGCCUGCGGCGCAUUAGCUAGUUGGUGAGGUAACGGCCCACCAAGGCGACGAUGCGUAGCCGACCUGAGAGGGUGAACGGCCACACUGGGACUGAGACACGGCCCAGACUCCUACGGGAGGCAGCAGUGGG